Molecule: ribosomal RNA, 581 nt
Filed under: uncultured bacterium
Lineage: Bacteria
Description: bacterial SSU rRNA
Rfam family: Bacterial small subunit ribosomal RNA
Source: RNAcentral
CCAGACUCCUACGGGAGGCAGCAGUGGGGAAUAUUGGACAAUGGGGGCAACCCUGAUCCAGCAAUUCUGUGUGCACGAAGAAGGUUUUCGGAUUGUAAAGUGCUUUCAGCAGGGAAGAAGGAAGUGACGGUACCUGCAGAAGAAGCGACGGCUAAAUACGUGCCAGCAGCCGCGGUAAUACGUAUGUCGCGAGCGUUAUCCGGAAUUAUUGGGCAUAAAGGGCAUCUAGGCGGCCUGACAAGUCAGGGGUGAAAACCUGCGGCUCAACCGCAGGCCUGCCUUUGAAACUGUGAGGCUGGAGUACCGGAGAGGUGGACGGAACUGCACGAGUAGAGGUGAAAUUCGUAGAUAUGUGCAGGAAUGCCGAUGAUGAAGAUAGUUCACUGGACGGUAACUGACGCUGAAGUGCGAAAGCCGGGGGAGCAAACAGGAUUAGAUACCCUGGUAGUCCCGGCUGUAAACGAUGAUUACUGGGUGUGGGCAGGAAGACUGUCUGUGCCGAAGCAAAUGCGAUAAGUAAUCCGCCUGGGGAGUACGGCCGCAAGGCUGAAACUCAAAGGAAUUGACGGGGGCCGCACAAG